RNAcentral lists this ribosomal RNA (1013 nucleotides) under Escherichia albertii TW08933. RNAcentral describes it as "bacterial LSU rRNA". It matches the Rfam family "Bacterial large subunit ribosomal RNA", at positions 1230 to 2227 of the family's 2925-position model. The record is from RNAcentral. Lineage: Bacteria; Pseudomonadati; Pseudomonadota; Gammaproteobacteria; Enterobacterales; Enterobacteriaceae.
AGGGGAGCGUUCUGUAAGCCUGUGAAGGUGUGCUGUGAAGCAUGCUGGAGGUAUCAGAAGUGCGAAUGCUGACAUAAGUAACGAUAAAGCGGGUGAAAAGCCCGCUCGCCGGAAGACCAAGGGUUCCUGUCCAACGUUAAUCGGGGCAGGGUGAGUCGACCCCUAAGGCGAGGCCGAAAGGCGUAGUCGAUGGGAAACAGGUUAAUAUUCCUGUACUUGGUGUUACUGCGAAGGGGGGACGGAGAAGGCUAUGUUGGCCGGGCGACGGUUGUCCCGGUUUAAGCGUGUAGGCUGGUUUUCCAGGCAAAUCCGGAGAAUCAAGGCUGAGGCGUGAUGACGAGGCACUACGGUGCUGAAGCAACAAAUGCCCUGCUUCCAGGAAAAGCCUCUAAGCAUCAGGUAACAUCAAAUCGUACCCCAAACCGACACAGGUGGUCAGGUAGAGAAUACCAAGGCGCUUGAGAGAACUCGGGUGAAGGAACUAGGCAAAAUGGUGCCGUAACUUCGGGAGAAGGCACGCUGAUAUGUAGGUGAAGCGACUUGCUCGUGGAGCUGAAAUCAGUCGAAGAUACCAGCUGGCUGCAACUGUUUAUUAAAAACACAGCACUGUGCAAACACGAAAGUGGACGUAUACGGUGUGACGCCUGCCCGGUGCCGGAAGGUUAAUUGAUGGGGUCAGCGCAAGCGAAGCUCUUGAUCGAAGCCCCGGUAAACGGCGGCCGUAACUAUAACGGUCCUAAGGUAGCGAAAUUCCUUGUCGGGUAAGUUCCGACCUGCACGAAUGGCGUAAUGAUGGCCAGGCUGUCUCCACCCGAGACUCAGUGAAAUUGAACUCGCUGUGAAGAUGCAGUGUACCCGCGGCAAGACGGAAAGACCCCGUGAACCUUUACUAUAGCUUGACACUGAACACUGGUCCUUGAUGUGUAGGAUAGGUGGGAGGCUUUGAAGUGUGGACGCCAGUCUGCAUGGAGCCGUCCUUGAAAUACCACCCUUUAAUGGCUGGUGUUCUAACG